This 360-nucleotide ribosomal RNA is filed under the name uncultured Acidobacteriota bacterium. RNAcentral describes it as "bacterial SSU rRNA". It matches the Rfam family "Bacterial small subunit ribosomal RNA", at positions 16 to 358 of the family's 1533-position model. The record is from RNAcentral. Lineage: Bacteria; Pseudomonadati; Acidobacteriota.
AUCCUGGCUCAGAAUCAACGCUGGCGGCGUCCUCAGACAUGCAAGUCGAACGAGAAAGUCCCCUUCGGGGGAUAAGUAAAGUGGCGCACGGGUGAGUAACACGUAGGUAAUCUACCUUCGGGUGGGGAAUAACCCAGGGAAACUUGGGCUUAACACCGCAUAAUGCAGCGGCACCACAUGGUGACAGUUGUUAAAGCGGGGGAUUUUAGGACCUCGCGCCUUGAANAGGAGCCUGCGGCGGAUUAGCUAGUUGGUAAGGUAACGGCUUACCAGGGCGACGAUCCGUAGCCGGCCUGAGAGGGCGGUCGGCCACACUGACACUGACAUACGGGUCAGACUCCUACGGGAGNCAGCAGUCGG